RNAcentral lists this transfer RNA (94 nucleotides) under Atelecyclus undecimdentatus. RNAcentral's name for it is "transfer RNA-Phe". The record is from RNAcentral. Lineage: Eukaryota; Metazoa; Arthropoda; Malacostraca; Decapoda; Atelecyclidae.
GCUAUUUUGGCAGAUGAUAUGCCCUAGACUUAGGAUCUAGUUAAAUAGAUUUAUUCUAUAGGUAGUAAAAAGUUAGUGUCUUGCUAAUUGUUUU